RNAcentral lists this ribosomal RNA (164 nucleotides) under uncultured bacterium. RNAcentral describes it as "partial 16S ribosomal RNA". It matches the Rfam family "Bacterial small subunit ribosomal RNA", at positions 355 to 511 of the family's 1533-position model. The record is from RNAcentral.
UAGGGAAUCUUCCACAAUGGGCGCAAGCCUGAUGGAGCAACACCGCGUGAGUGAAGAAGGGUUUCGGCUCGUAAAACUCUGUUGUUAAAGAAGAACAUAUCUGAGAGUAACUGUUCAGGUAUUGACGGUAUUUAACCAGAAAGCCACGGCUAACUACGUGCUAG